Molecule: ribosomal RNA, 692 nt
Filed under: uncultured Methanoregula sp.
Lineage: Archaea; Methanobacteriati; Methanobacteriota; Methanomicrobia; Methanomicrobiales; Methanoregulaceae
Description: bacterial SSU rRNA
Rfam family: Archaeal small subunit ribosomal RNA
Source: RNAcentral
CGGCUCAGUAACACGUGGACAACCUACCCUAUGGAGGGGGAUAACCCCGGGAAAUUGGGGAUAAUACCCCAUAGACUAUAGAUGCUGGAAUGCUUUGUAGUUGAAAGGUCCGCCGCCAUAGGAUGGGUUUGCGGCCGAUUAGGUUGUUGUUGGGGUAAUGGCCCAACAAGCCUGUAAUCGGUACGGGUUGUGGGAGCAAGAGCCCGGAGAUGGAUUCUGAGAUAUGAAUCCAGGCCCUACGGGGCGCAGUAGGCGCGAAAACUUUACAAUGCGGGAAACCGUGAUAAGGGAACUCCGAGUGCCCGUAAAAUCGGGCUGUCCAUCUGUUUAAAUAACAGGUGAAGAAAGGGCCGGGUAAGACCGGUGCCAGCCGCCGUGGUAAUACCGGCGGCUCGAGUGGUGGCCACUAUUACUGGGCUUAAAGCGUUCGUAGCUGGUCUGUUAAGUCUCUGGGGAAAUCUACUGGCUUAACCAAUAGGUGUCUCAGGGAUACUGGCAGACUAGGGACCGGGAGAGGUGAGAGGUACUCCAGGGGUAGGAGUGAAAUCCUGUAAUCCUUGGGGGACCACCUGUGGCGAAGGCGUCUCACCAGAACGGCUCCGACAGUGAGGGACGAAAGCUGGGGGAGCAAACCGGAUUAGAUACCCGGGUAGUCCCAGCCGUAAACGAUGCGCGUUANGUGUAUCGGUGAC